Molecule: ribosomal RNA, 330 nt
Filed under: uncultured eukaryote
Lineage: Eukaryota
Description: partial 18S ribosomal RNA
Rfam family: Eukaryotic small subunit ribosomal RNA
Source: RNAcentral
CCCUUAGAUGUUCUGGGCCGCACGCGCGCUACACUGAUGCAUUCAACGAGUCUAAAACCUGGUCUGAUAGGGCUGGGUAAUCUUUUGAAAGUGCACCGUGAUUGGGAUAGAUGAUUGCAAUUCUUCAUCUUCAACGAGGAAUGCCUAGUAAACGCAAGUCAUCAGCUUGCAUUGAUUACGUCCCUGCCCUUUGUACACACCGCCCGUCGCUCCUACCGAUUGAAUGAUCCGAUGAAUACCAUGGAUUGAGAGUACGAAUGGGUUCGCUCAUUUCUGCUGCUCGAGAAGUGGAGUAAAUCUUAUCAUUUAGAGGAAGGAGAAGUCGUAACA